GAUGAACGCUAGCUACAGGCUUAACACAUGCAAGUCGCGGGGCAGCAUGGGGGUUGCUUGCAAUCCCCGAUGGCGACCGGCGCACGGGUGAGUAACGCGUAUCCAACCUGCCCUUCACCACGGGAUAACCCGGCGAAAGUCGGACUAAUACCGUAUGUUGUCCAUUGACGGCAUCCGAUUUGGACGAAAGGCUUGGCGGUGAGGGAUGGGGAUGCGUCCGAUUAGCCAGACGGCGGGGUAACGGCCCACCGUGGCUACGAUCGGUAGGGGUUCUGAGAGGAAGGUCCCCCACACUGGAACUGAGACACGGUCCAGACUCCUACGGGAGGCAGCAGUGAGGAAUAUUGGUCAAUGGGCGUAAGCCUGAACCAGCCAAGUAGCGUGCAGGAUGACGGCCCUAUGGGUUGCAAACUGCUUUUAUGCGGGGAUAAAGUGGCCCACGUGUGGGCUUUUGCAGGUACCGCAUGAAUAAGGACCGGCUAAUUCCGUG
RNAcentral lists this ribosomal RNA (490 nucleotides) under uncultured bacterium. RNAcentral's name for it is "partial 16S ribosomal RNA". It matches the Rfam family "Bacterial small subunit ribosomal RNA", at positions 28 to 507 of the family's 1533-position model. The record is from RNAcentral.